RNAcentral lists this ribosomal RNA (253 nucleotides) under uncultured bacterium. Its description in RNAcentral is "partial 16S ribosomal RNA". It matches the Rfam family "Bacterial small subunit ribosomal RNA", at positions 524 to 776 of the family's 1533-position model. The record is from RNAcentral.
GACGGAGGAUGCAAGCGUUAUCCGGAAUGAUUGGGCGUAAAGCGUCUGCAGGUGGCAGUUCAAGUCUGCUGUCAAAGACCGGGGCUUAACUUCGGAAAGGCAGUGGAAACUGAACAGCUAGAGUAUGGUAGGGGCAGAGGGAAUUCCUGGUGUAGCGGUGAAAUGCGUAGAGAUCAGGAAGAACAUCAGUGGCGAAGGCGCUCUGCUGGACCAUAACUGACACUCAGGGACGAAAGCUAGGGGAGCGAAUGGG